Molecule: unclassified non-coding RNA, 202 nt
Filed under: soil metagenome
Description: partial contains 5.8S ribosomal RNA, internal transcribed spacer 2, and large subunit ribosomal RNA
Source: RNAcentral
AACCUUAUGGACCUGCGGGCGUAUACCUGCGGAAGGAUCAUUAUCAAAACAGCGGCCUUCGGGCCUUGCUGCACCCUUGUCUUUUGCGCACCGUAUUGUUUCCUCGGCGGGCUUGCCUGCCGGUUGGACAUUAUCAAACCUUUUUGUAGUUGCAAUCAGCGUCAGAAAAACAAUAAUUAUUACAACUUUCAGCAACGGAUCU